This 408-nucleotide unclassified non-coding RNA is filed under the name fungal sp. Its description in RNAcentral is "partial internal transcribed spacer region". The stretch from base 1 to 46 matches the Rfam family "Eukaryotic small subunit ribosomal RNA", at positions 1786 to 1831 of the family's 1831-position model. Lineage: Eukaryota; Fungi. The record is from RNAcentral.
AAGUCGUAACAAGGUUUCCGUAGGUGAACCUGCGGAAGGAUCAUUAACACUUUUAAAACAAAAUUUCCCUUUUGAAUCCCUCUCUUUUCUUUUCUCUUUCUCUUCUCUUCGGAGAGAGACUGGGGGAAGUCAAGAGAUUUUCAAAUUUAAUUUGAACAAAAAUGUGUAACCUUACUUUUUUACUUAUGGAUUUGAGGGCACAAGAGAGAGGGGGUUUUUCUCUCUCUCUCUUUGUGGUUCUCAGAUUUUCUCAUAAACCAGUUAAACCCAAAAACAAAAUAUGGCGUAUCUCAAAGGGACUUUUUGUCUCUCUGACGAUCCCCCAUAGUUAAACCAAAAACAAAAAACCAAAAACAAAAAACUAAAAAAUAAAACACAACUCUUAACAAUGGAUAUCUUGGUUCUCGC